GACAGAGGUGCCGAGCGUUAGGCGGAAUCACUGGGCUUAAAGCGUGUGUAGGCGGCCCGUUAAGUGCCUCGUGAAAUCCCCCCGGCUCAACCGGGGAACUGCCGGGCAUACUGGCGGGCUUGGGCCACUCAGGGGGCAGACGGAACAGGCGGUGGAGCGGGUGAAAAUGCGUAGAUAUCGCCUGGAACGCCGAAGGUGAAAAACAGUCUGCUGGGGGGUGUGCCGAGCUGAGACACGAAAGCCGGGGAGCGAACGGGAAUUAGAGUAACCCGAGUAAGUCCGAG
Molecule: ribosomal RNA, 284 nt
Filed under: uncultured bacterium
Lineage: Bacteria
Description: partial 16S ribosomal RNA
Rfam family: Bacterial small subunit ribosomal RNA
Source: RNAcentral